UUGUGGAAGGAGGUUCUGAAACUUGUUCAACAAGACGUGAAGUUCACGCAUAGAAGGUUAUAAGAGAUAACCGAAAAAGAGACGUCAAAAAGAGACGUUAUGGUGAUCAGAGGGAGACACCAAACACAAAAAUGGAGGAUGCUAACCUCAGAGAAAAAUGAAGCAAAAGACGGUUACAAAGAUAAACCGAAGACGAUGUGAAGGAGAUUCACGCGUUAGACGUCAGGGAGACGUUAUUGUGAUCAGAGGGAGACACCAAACACAAAAAUGGAGGAUGUUAACCUCAGAGAAAAAUGAAGCAAAAGACGGUUACAAAGAUAACCGAAGAAGAUGUGAAAGAGUUCACACACCGAUUUGGUGAUCAAAAGGACACCAAGAAGAAAUAAGAAGAAAGCUCACUUAAAACAAAGUGAAUGAAAAAAGGUUGCA
Molecule: long non-coding RNA, 429 nt
Filed under: Capsella rubella
Lineage: Eukaryota; Viridiplantae; Streptophyta; Magnoliopsida; Brassicales; Brassicaceae
Description: long non-coding RNA (CRUB_LNC005115)
Source: RNAcentral